Molecule: ribosomal RNA, 274 nt
Filed under: uncultured bacterium
Lineage: Bacteria
Description: partial 16S ribosomal RNA
Rfam family: Bacterial small subunit ribosomal RNA
Source: RNAcentral
AUACGGAGGGUCCAAGCGUUAUCCGGAAUCAUUGGGUUUAAAGGGUCCGCAGGCGGUCAAUUAAGUCAGAGGUGAAAACCCAUCGCUCAACGAUGGAACUGCCUUUGAUACUGGUUGACUUGAGUUAUACGGAAGUAGAUAGAAUAAGUAGUGUAGCGGUGAAAUGCAUAGAUAUUACUUAGAAUACCGAUUGCGAAGGCAGUCUACUACGUAUAUACUGACGCUGAGGGACGAAAGCGUGGGGAGCGAACAGGAUUAGAAACCCUAGUAGUCC